GAAAGGGAGCCUGAACACAGGUGCUGCAUGGCUGUCGUCAGCUCGUGUCGUGAGAUGGUUGGUUAAGUCCCGCAACGAGCGCAACCCUUGUCAUUAGUUGCUACGAAAGGGCCCUCUAAUGAGACUGCCGGUGACAAACCGGAGGAAGGUGGGGAUGACGUCAAGUCCUCAUGGCCCUUAUGGGUAGGGCUUCACACGUCAUACAAUGGUACAUACAGAGGGCCGCCAACCCGCGAGGGGGAGCUAAUCCCAGAAAGUGUAUCGUAGUCCGGAUCGCAGUCUGCAACUCGACUGCGUGAAGUUGGAAUCGCUAGUAAUCGCGGAUCAGCAUGCCGCGGUGAAUACGUUCCCGGGUCUUGUACACACCGCCCGUCACACCAUGGGAGCGGGUUUUACCAGAAGUAGGUAGCUUAACCGUAAGGGGGGCGCUUACCACGGUAGGAUUCGUGACUGGGGUGAAGUCGUAACAAGGUAAGCGUAGCGAG
Molecule: ribosomal RNA, 485 nt
Filed under: uncultured bacterium
Lineage: Bacteria
Description: bacterial SSU rRNA
Rfam family: Bacterial small subunit ribosomal RNA
Source: RNAcentral